Molecule: ribosomal RNA, 253 nt
Filed under: uncultured bacterium
Lineage: Bacteria
Description: partial 16S ribosomal RNA
Rfam family: Bacterial small subunit ribosomal RNA
Source: RNAcentral
UACGUAGGGUCCGAGCGUUGUCCGGAAUUAUUGGGCGUAAAGAGCUCGUAGGCGGUUUGUCGCGUCUGCUGUGAAAACUGGAGGCUCAACCUCCAGCCUGCAGUGGGUACGGGCAGACUAGAGUGCGGUAGGGGAGAAUGGAAUUCCUGGUGUAGCGGUGGAAUGCGCAGAUAUCAGGAGGAACACCGAUGGCGAAGGCAGUUCUCUGGGCCGUAACUGACGCUGAGGAGCGAAAGCGUGGGGAGCGAACAGG